CUAGGCCCAUAACCCUUAACAUAAAAAACCGUACAGAGCUAAGAGGAGGAGUUUCAGCCGUUUCAUAGACAUACACAGUCCUACGCCUACUGAAGAUGAGGAUUUCCAUUUUCAUUCAAUGAAAUUUCCGAAAAAUCCAAGGUUUUGCUCACUGAAUGUAACGUGAUUUCAUCCUUCAUUCAAGACUUCAAGCUAAUGACACCUUAUUAUCCCCAAUAUACAAAAACCCAAGUUAGCCGCAAACCCCUCUGCAAAGAACCUCCACCAGAUCUCACCCCUUCCGAUUAUUCUGCUUUCUAAUCUCAUAGAUUUUCUUAUUGAAUUUGGAAUUCAUCACGUGGUUUCGUUUUGGUAUCAUUUGGAAAUUGAGGUCGCCGGCAAGGUUCCGUUCGAGGUUGCCGUUGAGGUGUCCAGCCGACUGAUCUGUUCGUAGUUAUCGGCGAAAGCUCCAAUCCAGAACUACCAAAUUGCUAGGCUUGUAGUUCCAACCCCUGUUCAUUUGUGCAAGAGGUCCGAUUUUUUGCCUUAUAAUCUACUUGGAUAAUGGUUAAAUUGCUUGUUUGCUUUUAUUCUGUUGAAGUUACUUGUUGAAACCAUUUUGAAUUUUGUUUCCAUAUUUGUUAAGAACGUUGAGGUGUUGCUUGUAUUCUUUUGGGUUAUACCUUAGUCAUGCUGCUUUUGUAUUUAUUGGUAAAUAAUGUGUAAAUCACAUUUUGUUUGAUAAUAUGGAAUUAAUGGAUAUGCAACUUUUUGUUGCCUCCAUUCCAGAAGGUUUGUGUCAUAGCCUUCUAAAUCAUCUUCUAUCUGCAGUUGUUUCUCGAGAAGAUCAAGCCAUCAAUUUGAAAUUUUGGACUACUCUACCUCAACAUCGUUACUUUGAGAACAUCUUCUAUCUGCAGUUGUUUCUCGAGGAGAUCAAGCCAUCAAUUUGAAAUUUUGGACUACUCUACCUCAACAUCGUUACUUUGGAUAUGUUCUCACGGAGCAUGAGGUUUGGCUUGUUAAUUUUUAUCUCCUACAUUUGAUAUAGUCACGCUUACAUUAAACAACAUUUAUUAUAGGGAAGGGGAUAAGAACUGUAAUAGUUAGACUUUAAUUGAGAUUUUUAGGCUUUUUAACGUAAUUAAAUACAAAGAGAUUGUCAAUUUUGGCUAACACGAUGCAUACGUAUAAAAUUUCUCUUUCUCCUCUGUUUUAAUGCGUGAUAUUGUCCAUUUGGUUGGAACAUGAUGGAUGGACAAAUUUGAAUGAUUUUUAUGACCGAUCAUGUUAGUUUUAAUAAAUAGAGGCGUGCCAUGCAAAAUAAAGUCUCAAAACCUAUGACCCUCGGAUAAUCAAUGUGAUCUCCUUAGAAAUUGAGGCGUGCCAUUUAGUUGAAAUUUCAUAGCCCUCGCAAAGUUGAAAGUGCAUAGUUGCUUUAGACGCUAUUUAAAAAUUAUUUUCCUAAACUCGGGUGCGCAUUUGUGUAACCCAAAUCCAAAUCUCAACAACGUUAAAUAAAAUGUGUUGUGGACCGCGGGUACAUUUAUGUGACGUGGUUCAAGACAUGUUUUAGAUUACGUUGAAUCUUUCUCCUAAAAACAAUUAAUUAAAGCGGUUAUAAAGUUAAAAUUGAACCGUAGGUUAAAACAUGUAUUAAAAUCAAAUAAUAGGCCAAUUGUAACAGUUGAGCGACCGUGCUAGAACCACGGAACUCGGGAAUGCCUAAUACCUUCUUCCGGGUUAACAGAAUUCCUUAUCCGGAUUUCUGUGUUCGCGGACUGUAAUACAAAGUCAAUCUUUUCCUCGAUUCGGGAUUUAAAACCGGUGAAUUGGGAUACCAUAAAUUAUCCCAAGUGACAACUCUGAAUUUUUAAUAAAAUAAUCGCGUUUCGAUUGUCACUUUAAGUUGGAAAAAACUCCCUUAUACACCCUCUCGUGGUGUAGUAAAAAAGGAGGUGUGACAUCUCUGGCUACUCUGCUGGGGAACGAACCCAGAAUCUAUGGUUCAGGGUUCAAGAAUUCGAGCUUAGAAUAAUUGUUAUAAUUGGCUAUGUUUAUUAUCUGAUUUUAUUACAUGUUUGGGCCUAAUGUGCUAAAUGCUGCUUUUUACCGCUUUGAUAUUAUUUGAACUGUACAUAAACUGCUACGAAACCCCUCUCUUCUCUCUCCUGAGGAGUGCACGCUGACGUGACUUCUUUCUGUUAGUGUCAUAUCCCAAAUAGAAUGAGGUUCGGACAAGUUACAAAGCCGGAUGAUCUUUUGGUUACCGGUACGCAGCCCUCCUCGGCUCGAGUUGUCCGCUCGGGUAAGCCAGGUCUAGAACAAUACACACAGGUUUUAAACCUAGAAUAACUCAGUCUCAUGCUGGAUCCCUCGUAGGAACGUUUAUUUGUAUCAUGUACAUUUGACUUUGGAGACUCAACACAGGGGUUGGGUCUGUCUAAGACAUGUAUACCCGAAAUGAAAAAGACCAUCCUGAUGCAUCCUACUUGCUACUUGUGUAUUGAUUUGCUUCGGAUUUGCAUGUUGAUCGGCUUAUAGGGAAAAUGUUGAGAGAAGGAAAGUCAAUGUGAGGGCUAAGAGAGAUAAUUGCUUGUUUUUGAAAAACCGAUGUCCCAAAAUAUACUGAAACUCUGCCGAAAUUUUUAAAAAAAAAAGAAGAAAUUUUUUAGUUGUUUUUUUUNNNNNNNNNNNNNNNNNNNNNNNNNAUAAUUUUAUUUUAAAUAAGCGGGGUGAUGCCAUUUUUUGUCUAAAAAUAGCCGAAUGUCCCCAAAAGGACGCCGGAAGGCUGUUUUAGAAAGAACAGCCACUUUUGGUCUCUUUUUCAAAUUUUAGGCUGGUUAACAAGCACAUCCUUAAAAUCUUCUCCCCGGAAGUGCUGAAAGGCCGUAUUUGCAAAGCCGGGUUUUAUUCUUGACAUGACAAUUUAAAAAAAUAUAAACUUUUCUUGAGUCAAAUGAGUCAUGAUUUUGCUUAAUCACCCUAAUAAAUGUGUAGAAUGAGCACGAGUCAAAUUUUGCCAAUAACAGUCAUGAACAAGAUCCCUUUGGAGCUGUGUAUGUGGUGGGAAGAUCUGGUUAAAUCAGGGCAAGAUAAGGUCAAUCUAUACUUGGGAGGUCUCACCGGGUUGUUGAAGAUCAGGCCUAGAGGAGACAUCGUAAAGGCGUUGGUUACAUUCUGGGACCCGGCCCACAACGUGUUUCAUUUCUCAGAUUUUGAACUCACCCCAACUUUGGAAGAAAUAGCCGGAUAUAUUGGGAGCACUAAAGUUCCUAUGAGACACAAAUAUCUGAUUUCUCCAAGAGUCGUCGCUGUGCACAGGUUCCUAGAUUCCUUAAAGAUAAGCAGGGGGUCCACAACCCAGAUUUGGCAGCUAGUUUUUCCACUCUGCAGUUUAUAUACUAGAGAUACGGUCACAUAGGUGGGUUUAACAAUCUAGAAAACAAAAUUUGUAGCAAAGGGAAUCGCCUCAAAUGGGAAUAGCACCGAUGCUUUGCUUUUAUGGUAGUAUUCUUGGGUCUUCUGGUGUUUCCUAGGAAAGAUGAAAAUAUUGAUAUACAGAUAGCUGGUGUCAUCAGUACCUUGCUUACUCAGGCCAAAAUUACCCUCGCACCCAUGAUAGUAGCUGAAAUCUUCCGCGCUCUCACAGCCUGCAAAGCCGGAGGAGACCUUUUUGAAGGGUGCAAUUUGUUGCUAUAGAUGUGGAUAACUGAACAUCUAUGUCAUCGUCCUCAAUACAUGAGCUAUGGGUCGACAGAGAAAAACUGCAUAGAGGAAUUUUAUAUAAGGGUCGACGGGUUUAGCCUGCUAGAAGAGAUCACAUAAUGGAUAUCCCAUCUCCGUUCCAUUACUGCAGACCAAAUAGAAUGGAUGUUCGGGUGGCUUCCUAUAGAUGAAAUCGUAUACAUGCUAGCUACCGGACUUCACUUCCUCCUGAUGGGUCUCAGAAGUAUCCAGCCUUAUGCCCUAUACCGGGUUUUGAGACAAUUGGGGAGAUGUCAAAUCGUUCCAGAAGAUGAAGACCUUAGUGCUCAGGUAGUCGAGAUUGGUCCUGAUGGUCAGUUUCAUGAAGCAUCAGUCCGCCAGAUUUGGAGCGAGUGUCAGUACCUGACGACAAAUACCUGUGUGCGCGAUCUAUCCAAAAAGGUGAAGUUUCACCAAGGUACCUUGCUUGGUAUAAAAGGGAAAUUGAGUUUGGAAGGCCGGCCAAAAGACCCCAUCUUCAAGAAUUUGUCGAGGCGUCACAAGUGCAAUGAGAUUGGUUGGCCAAAGAAAAUGAAUAUAGGGAUACCAUAAGCAAGCUGGAAAAGCAAGUCAAGGACCUUCAAUUCGAGAAUGGUUUGCAAGCCGCCACAGAUGAAGGUGAGAAGAAAAAUCUAGCCAAGGAAAAUGAAGCCCUUCGAGCCCAGAUUCGGAAAAUGAAAAUAGCAGCUGGAAAUCCCGCCAGAAGUGCAAAAGAUGAAAAACUUAUAAAGAACCUUAGGCAGAAGGUGAGUGAGUAUGGUUUUGACUUGAACAAGGCGGAGGGUGAAUUAGCAAGGGCUCGAACAAAAUUGGCUAAGAAUGCGGAAGAACGAGAGCGCUUGGUUAAACAGUUAAAAGAAAAUAUGACAAUGAGGUUGUGGGGUUGAAGAAAAGGGUCACCAUCUUUGAGAACAAAAUGAUCAAGCAAGCAAAAGACUUUAAGGCAGAAAGAGAACACUGUUAUGCAGCGAUGACACAGUUAGAAAGAGAUAUGCAACAACUUCAAGAACAGAAUCAUAUAGCUGAACAAACUAUGGAAGCUAGGGCCCAACAGAUUGGGCGUUUGUUGCAAGAAAAUGGCUUCAUAAGAGAAAGGGUCAAAAGGAUCGCCGACUACAUCAUAAUGAAAUGUAGUAAGUGUGAGGACAUGACUAGAUCCAUGUUCUUCGCCACUGUGAUGACCUUUGUCCGCCAGAUAAUGGAAGAUCUCUACCAUCUCCAAGGGGAUUUGGCACGUAGGCCCGUGGCGAGACCGAAUGAUGUCCCACGGGCCCCAGGAGCAGUUGAGGCAUUGAUGUAUUUAUGAUUUUUAUUGGAGUCUGUUAGUCUGUAUCUUUCAUCUUGGAGUCUGUUAGUCUGUUUUCGAGUCUGUAUUUUCAUCUUUCCAUUGGAGUCUGUUAGUUUCUUCUUCGAGUCUGUUAGUUUUUGAGUCGUUGUAAUCAAAACGUUCAUUUUAUGAAAAAAUUUAGAAAAUCCCAAAAUAUUUUUAUUAUUUAUUUUCACACUUAUCCCCCAGAACUACGCACAGAUCUGAUUCAUGCGGGGUCAUGAUACGUAGGCAAUCUCCAUAGGAUUCGAUCAUAACUAAAAAAAAAAGAGAGAGAAAAGAAAAAAGAGGGAAAGAGAGAGGAAAAACAAGAGAGAAAAGAAAAAAACAAGAGAGAUAGAUGAAAAAGUUGCAAAUGGAAAUUAGGGAAAGCCGGGAUGACGCAAGCAACCGAUCAAAUGCAUAAUAGAAAUGGUUAACUGCUUAGGUGCAUUGCAUCCCCAAUGUGCGGUUGUUUAUCUGUUAAAUGCCCUAAUGCUAACGGGAUGACCCCAUUUUGUUCCUUUUGAUAUCUUCAUAGUGGAAAGGUGGUUGGUUUGUGGUUCUCGAAGUAGUAACUCCUCUCCACAACGUAAGGUCAAAAGGCAAUGGUGGACAACAACAAAAUUGGGUUGGUUGAUACCGGUUCCCGAAAACAGUUAGUUGAACAGAACACUGGUUUGGUUGAUGAGGUAAGGAUGUUAAGACAACACAUGACAGACAUGUAUCAGACCUGGAUGACUGGGAAGGUACCACCCCCGCCACCACCUAGCCUUUUAGAUGCUGCCUUUACCAAACUUCGAUUAUAGUGCCAGAUGAUCCCCCAUACUCUCCAGAUCGACCCGUUUAUCACAACCGUCCUAGUAGCUCCAUCACUCAUCCUCCAAUUAUCUCUCCCCAAAAUUUCCCUCCUGUCAUAUCCACUAUUCCCAAUAAUGAAUAUCCACUCAAAGUUCAUGAUGCCCAAUACUACCCCGCAGAGGUUGCCCACAAGGUUCCUGACUCAUACAAGAAGAGCCCUCGGGAUGAGCUUCAUGUUGAAAAUAGAAAGGUUACAGGAAAACAAGGGCGAGAUGAGAUAUCCGGGAAGUUGAACAGCAUAGAACAGGCUUUAAAGAACAUGCAAGGGACGGGAGACCAGAUUAGCAUGUCUUACAAAGAGUUGUGUAUCUUCCCUGACGUUCGCUUGACCGCAUGAUUUAAAGUGCAAAAGUUUAACUUGUACGAUGAGUGUGGAGAUCCGGUAGCCCAUUUGAGGGAUUAUUACAGUGAAAUGAGAGGCGUUGGCGAGAAAGAUGAUUUGUUGAUAGCGUAUUUCAGUGAGACCUUGACUGGGGUAGCUUUGGAAUGGCAUAAUCGUCAAGAUGUCGGCAAGUGACAUACAUUGGGCGGCAUGACUCAAGAUUUUGUACGACGCUUUCAGUACAAUAUAGACAUUGUCCCAGACCGCUCCUCCCUAUCUCUGAUGGAAAAGAAACCCAAUGACAGUUUUAGGGAUUUUUGGCUCAGAUGGAAUGAACAAGUUGCUCGGGGUAGUCCUCCCGUUGAUAGAAAAGAUGUUGCUGAGCCCCGCCGACGACAGAGUCCAGUGGUCAUUCUUGCUAAACACUUUCAGCCUCAAUGUCGACCCUGUGUAUAUCCUUGUAAUCCUCCCCACUGCUACUUCUCUCCACAGAAAGCCUAAAAUCGCACAUCACUUCCCCGAUACCCCGUCCACAAUGCACCACCAUAUGCUCCACAUCCCCGAGGCCCGCGAUAGCCCGCGAUAGCCCGCACCACUUCCACAAAUGUCUCACCUGCACCCUCAGGCAUAUCAACCACCUACCCGCAAAAGGUUCCAACCGAGGCCAGAAUAUAAAAUGAAAAGACUACUGAAAAAGAAAAUGCUUUCACCCCUAUUGGAGAAUCGUAUACCAGUCUGUUCCAAAGGUUGAUGCAAUUGGAUAUGUUGAAGUCGAUUCAGAUAAAAAGGCCAAACCUUCUUCCAAAGAAGUUUGAUUUUUCUCAAAGGUACGCAUAUUGCUCAGAUGCCCCGGGGCAUGACAUAGAAAAGCGUUGGUAUCUAAAAGGAGCAGUCCAGAAGUUUAUUGAUGCAGGUGACAUUACCGCGCAAAAUCCAAAUGCAGCAGAUACUAGCCAAAGUCCAUUUCCUAAGACACAUAUGAAGGACAUGAUUUGUGUGGAAAAGGAAUAUGAGAACUAUUCAGAGAUACUCGGAGGGCCAGCUGCCGCAAAGCUUUCAGCGCUAUCACUCUUGGUUCCGAAAGUUGAUCAUAAGAACGAGCCGGCCAAAGGGACCCAAAAACAAGUUGUUAAGGACAAUAAGAUGAGGACUUGUGAAGGUUCUAGCAAUGUUGAUGUUGAACUCAGUGGCUAGGAUGCAGAGCUUGGUAAUUGGAAAGACGCUCAUCUUUUGGCUAGCUGGGGUGGAGUCUUGGCAGUUUAUUUUGUUGUCAUUUUUGUUGUCCGGGUCAUUUUCAGGGUUGUAAUCCGGAUAUUGUCUGGUGACUCAAACCCUUCUAUCCUUUUAUUUUGCCUAAUUUGUUUAGUCGUAGUAGCUCGUUUAGUGUUGUCUAGGUUUGUUCCAGGGUUGUUACCCCAGUUUAGUUUGCUUGUUUUGUUGUUCAAACCCUUUCACCAUCUAUCUAAUGCAAUUUUCUGUUUUCUGUUAUUUCUAGUCGUUUAUGUUUAACUCUUUUUUCUUUUUAUAGUCCUUUUCCUGUUGACUCUAGUGACAUGACAUGUACGCGUAACUCUCAACCUGGUUUUAAAAAGUUAGUUUAAUCGUGAAGCAAUUUGGGAGAUGAUAUGGACAUUUGAGGGAAAUAAGUGAAGGGAUUUUGAGAUCACAAAGCCCCAAUUGUGUGAAACUAGGGCAGAUAAAACAUAAAGAAGUACUAUUGAAACGUAUUUGUCCACAUCAGGCUGAAGCAAAAGGCAAGUUCAUCCCAAAUUGGCAGGG
Molecule: long non-coding RNA, 7994 nt
Filed under: Nicotiana tabacum (common tobacco)
Lineage: Eukaryota; Viridiplantae; Streptophyta; Magnoliopsida; Solanales; Solanaceae
Description: long non-coding RNA (NTAB_LNC008692)
Source: RNAcentral